GACUCGGUAGCACGCGGGGUGCGCCCGCUCUCCGUGAUGUUGAUACUAGAAGACACUUUACGCGGAAGGUCCUGGUUCGACUCCAGGCUGGGUCA
Non-coding RNA from Mycena rosella, 95 nucleotides. NCBI's taxonomy places the organism in Eukaryota, Fungi, Basidiomycota, Agaricomycetes, Agaricales, Mycenaceae. The record is from the annotation of a GenBank genome assembly.